RNAcentral lists this ribosomal RNA (253 nucleotides) under uncultured bacterium. Its description in RNAcentral is "partial 16S ribosomal RNA". It matches the Rfam family "Bacterial small subunit ribosomal RNA", at positions 524 to 776 of the family's 1533-position model. The record is from RNAcentral.
UACGAAGGGGGCUAGCGUUGCUCGGAAUCACUGGGCGUAAAGGGCGCGUAGGCGGGCUUUUAAGUCAGGGGUGAAAUCCUGGAGCUCAACUCCAGAACUGCCUUUGAUACUGAGGAUCUUGAGUUCGGGAGAGGUGAGUGGAACUGCGAGUGUAGAGGUGAAAUUCGUAGAUAUUCGCAAGAACACCAGUGGCGAAGGCGGCUCACUGGCCCGAUACUGACGCUGAGGCACGAAAGCGUGGGGAGCAAACAGG